CAGCAACGCUUUUCUUCCGCUGAAGUUUGCAGUAAGUGAAUGUAAAACGAAGAGGACAAAGUAGUUAAUGAGUAUUUGCCCACGGUUUGUUAUUUGCAAAGGUGAGGUGACACUUCUUAUCUUCUGCAAUCGGCGGCUUUGAAAUCCAUUUUGCUUAAAGAAAAAGAAGUAAAAGAUAAUGAUACAUUAGAAAUGGCAAAUAGAGGACACGUCUGAAAAAGCUGAUGUGUCUUCAGCGUGUGAAGCGUUGCAACAUCUUCUGCGUUUUGUAGGUUUUCCUGUUGAUUUUCCAAACACAGGCUAUAGCUAAGAUGCACACUCUUGCUGAUUGAAGCUCGGCCUGUAUAUUUAACAUUAAUCACAAGCAGCUGUGGUGGAGGGAAACCUUCCUAGCCAGCCAGAUUAUAUUAGAUUAAAAUGAUCCACAUGUAAGGUGUAGCAAUACCUACUACCCGGGCAGGAGGGAAAUCACAUUAUACUUGCAACUAGAUUAACACAGGGAUUGAGUUGACAAAUAAUUCUCUCCUGCUUUUUAUUUUGUCAGGUGGGAGAAAUAAAAUGUUGCUACGCCAGUGAACUGCCUCAACAAGGCAUGCUUCUGUAAUUGCCUUGGAUGUGCACGCUGGUUCCUCGAGUCAGCACAGCAUCCCAGCAGAGCCUGGUGCUGUAGGAAUAUACCUGCCAACCCCAGCUACACAACCCUACCUGCAGGGAAUACAGCUGUGUGCCUGCUGCAAUGGGCUGGUGUUGGGAGUGGAGUUCUGCACCUUGGACAACAGUGCCCACACUAAGAGCAGCUGGGGAAAUAGGCUGCACUUGGUUGCAGGCUGGUCCUAUUCCUGUGAGAAAAAUACUCAGCAUUGGUUCUCUCAGAUUUAUGAUGCAUCAGAAACCUAAAGAACAUCCAGCAAACCAUGGACUGCGCAUGGAGGAAGACUUCUUUGGUGUGCUUGAAAAGGCUGCUUCACGGCCAAGGAGCUACAGAGCUUUCCAGUGAUGCACAGCACAGUCUCUCCUGGACAUGGACAAGCAAACCCUGCCUUCCAGAACCAGAAGUUUCUCUCUCUGGGAUACCAGCACCUUGUAUGUCCACCCAGAAGAUGCAAAGACUAUAAGCUUACAGCGCGGGAGAAUGAGCCAGGAGAGCCGAGCGUGGCGUUCCCACCCGUGACCAUGGCAGAGCACAGCCUGAUGCAGGGAUGGGAGACCCAAAGGGAUGCUGCGGUGCUGCAAAAACAAGGUAAAGCCUUUCUGCUUUAUGUCAUUUUAUUCCCAAGGGAUCUGUGGUAAAGCCCCUACCCCUUCUGUGAGAACAGAUAAAUCAUUUCGGAGCAAUUUUUACUAUCUCUAUUCCCUCUGCUGUGUAUUGGAGGACUGUUUUUCACCAGGAUCUCUAUUUCAUAGAUUCACAUUAGUAAAUUCAUAGAAUCACAGAAUGGCUUGGGUUGGAAGGGACCUCAAAGUUCCAACCCCUAUUUCUUACUUAAAGCUGUCAGGACAAUGCAGUUAUGAAUCAGGCCAAGUCGUUGUUGCUAUAUCAGAAGAAACCUAAGAACGGACUGGCUUUAAUAAGAAAUAAGUUAUAAUCCAUCCCCACAGUUAAAAUUCACGCAUAUGUGACUAUCAAAGCAGCGAUCACACAUUGCUCAUGCACAUUUACAAUCAGUUUCGUUUACAUUUUGGGAUGUACAGUAAGCAUUUAUUUUUGCAGGGAAUAUUUGCUACCCAAGAAAUUUUAGUGGCUCCCUGUUGUAGGAACCAGCCCCUCUGCUUAUCCACAGGCUGAACACAGCUCAGACAGGCGGCGUCUGAGCUCCCUGCACCGCCGCAGUGCUGAACUUAGGCUCAAAUGGGAGAAAUUGCCUCUCUUCAAGAUGAGAGGGGAUUCAUUUUCCAUGCUAGCUCUUUCCUGGGGGUCUUUGCCAAGAAGAGAAAAACCACUUGCAGUUUUCUGUCUUUUCACCAUUUUUUUUUUUUUUUUUUUAAAGAACAUCAAAGUUAUCACUCCUGCUUUC
This is a long non-coding RNA of Phasianus colchicus (ring-necked pheasant), 2015 nucleotides long. The record is from Ensembl. NCBI's taxonomy places the organism in Eukaryota, Metazoa, Chordata, Aves, Galliformes, Phasianidae.